Molecule: long non-coding RNA, 1447 nt
Organism: Leptinotarsa decemlineata (Colorado potato beetle)
Lineage: Eukaryota; Metazoa; Arthropoda; Insecta; Coleoptera; Chrysomelidae
Source: RefSeq, a predicted model, not a curated record
GUUCGAUCACCAUCAGGAUUCAUCACGUUCGAUCGAACAUUACUUCUAAUAAAAGGACAAUAACGUUGACAACAGCCCCUUUAGGGUAGCUGUUGUGAUAUGACACGAGAAAAACAAAAUAUGGACAAUACAAUAUACACAAGUGAAAGUAUUCAAGAAGACAUACCUUCGAGCUCAGAAGUGUUUUCCACUGACACGAUCAAAAAUUGUUCCGGUGAGAUGAGUCUCUUCCGGGUUCCACAAAAAAAAUUCUAAUCUACGAAUGGUCUAAUCGGGUCAAGACUUCCAAUGGCUCCAGGAAUAAUAGGAACUAUACUGACCAUAAAUUCUUCUGGAAUGAUGAAAAAAAAUAAGUAGACUUCUUUUUAGAGUCGAAAAUGGAUCAGACAAAUUGACAUGAGAAAUCCUGAUCAUGGCAGGUCGAUCGCCCUACCUUCCGAUUUGAGGAAGCCGGAAACAUCGGGUGGGGAAUUGUUCCCUUGAAGCCUACUUUAAAAAGUUCAAAUUUUGGAACGCAGGUCCAUUCGCCAUGAGCAGACUUAAGCGAACCAAUCACCUUUAGCGUUGACGAUGCUUGAUUUCCGAUACUUUCCAACAUCAAUGACAUAAAUUGAGAAUCGACCUUGACGGAGUACUCGAAAGUUGGAAAAACAAUAAUUUAAUGAUAUUACCACAAACAAUUGAUAAAUAUUUCCACAAAUUGGAAAAUAUUAGUUUCUCGUUCGAAACAAGUGGGUGGAGUUUCUCCACUGGUGACUUAGCAGUUUACUAAAAUGAAUCUGCUGAACAGACGUAUUAACUUAGACCUAGGAAACUGGUCAACAGAUGGUCCUAAUAGGGAAAUCUUGUCUAAUUUAUAUCAUUCAACAAUUACUCAACUACAUUUCUAAUUCUGACAAAUUAUCCCGAUAACGUUUCGAACAAUUGCUUCCCAACAAGACUUUCCUGGAAAAAUUCCCACAAUAAAUAAAACUGAGAAUUUUCACGCCCUCUAUCAACAACGGGAGUUACCUUCUCGUGAUCUGGACAUGACAGCUAAUUGAAGAUCACGACUGAGAUCCAAUCUGUAACGGAAUUCUAUUCUCAGUCAACAGUCAACAAAGAUGGAGACGGAAGUAAACAAUCGAAAAAGCGAUGGAAUCGGACCACAACUGGACAAUCAUCAGCUAACAGACGGUCCACUCUCGAGAUGGAGAGAGAGCGAGCCCAAAUGAUUUUUGUCGGCUGAUGGCUAAGCAGAUUCUGAGAUUAACUGACCGAAAGACCAUAUCCAUCGAUAAUUUCAUUAAUUCAAUCUCAAAUCACUGUGCUUGUGACCUUUAUCCAGUGCAGUAGAAUAUUGUCGUGACAGAACAAUGGGGGAUAUCGUGUUAUUAACAAUUUGAAUUACAGCAUCAGCAAUGUAUGUUUGUUGUGAAUAAAACAUAUUAUGAUAGAGUUGAUGAUA